AAGUAAGCUCAGGGCCAUUCAUCGGAGACAGACCAUGUUCAACGCCCUCUCACCGCUUCAAACCGCCAGCGCCCCGAGCUCGGUUGCGGCUGCCUGGGCGAACAGCGUGCAAACUCCGGUCAGCUUUUAUUUUGGGUAUUGGUUUAGCCACUGGCGCGCCUGAUACCCAACCGGCGCCCAUUUUAAACGGGUCGCCUUCCAGAGUUUUCCAAACCCCCGGUCGGCCUCCCGACCGGGGG
This 239-nucleotide small RNA is filed under the name Pseudomonas fluorescens Q8r1-96. Lineage: Bacteria; Pseudomonadati; Pseudomonadota; Gammaproteobacteria; Pseudomonadales; Pseudomonadaceae. The record is from RNAcentral.